Molecule: ribosomal RNA, 329 nt
Filed under: uncultured bacterium
Lineage: Bacteria
Description: bacterial SSU rRNA
Rfam family: Bacterial small subunit ribosomal RNA
Source: RNAcentral
UCCGUAGGCGGUGCGGCAAGUCGGAAGUGAAAUCUCAGGGCUUAACCCUGAGGCUGCUUCCGAAACUGCCGUGCUCGAGUGCGAGAGAGGCGAGUGGAAUUGCAGGUGUAGCGGUGAAAUGCGUAGAUAUCUGCAGGAACAUCCGAGGCGAAAGCGGCUCGCUGGAUCGCAACUGACGCUGAGGGACGAAAGCUAGGGAGCAAACAGGAUUAGAUACCCUGGUAGUCCUAGCCCUAAACGAUCAGGACUGGGCGUGGGCCUCGUACGGGGCUCGUGCCGCAGCUAACGCGUUAAGUCCUGCGCCUGGGGAGUACGGUCGCAAGGCUGAA